UACGAAGGGGGCUAGCGUUGUUCGGAAUUACUGGGCGUAAAGCGCGCGUAGGUGGUUUGUUAAGUUGGAUGUGAAAUCCCCGGGCUCAACCUGGGAACUGCAUCCAAAACUGGCAAGCUAGAGUAGGGCAGAGGGUGGUGGAAUUCCUGUGUAGCGGUGAAAUGCGUAGAUAUAGGAAGGAACACCAGUGGCGAAGCGACCACCUGGCGUCAUACUGACACUGAGGUGCGAAAGCGUGGGGAGCAAACAGGA
RNAcentral lists this ribosomal RNA (252 nucleotides) under uncultured bacterium. RNAcentral describes it as "partial 16S ribosomal RNA". It matches the Rfam family "Bacterial small subunit ribosomal RNA", at positions 524 to 777 of the family's 1533-position model. The record is from RNAcentral.